AGGGGUGCCAUGUGAUUAGAUCCCAUGAAGAAGAACAUGAAAGGAAGAACUUACUUUUCUGUAAAAUUUUAGAUUUUGAAAUCUUAGGUUUGUUAUAUGUGAUACAAAGUUGUAUGAAAUGUAAGACAUCUAAUCUAUGUGAUUAAAAUUAUUUUAAUCAUAAAAAAAUAAAAUUUCAAAUUAUUAAAGUUUUAGAUAUGAUCUAAAAGUGAUAUGAUUGAUUUUAUUUUAGUGUUAUACA
RNAcentral lists this long non-coding RNA (241 nucleotides) under Elaeis guineensis (African oil palm). RNAcentral describes it as "long non-coding RNA (EGUI_LNC054638)". The record is from RNAcentral. Lineage: Eukaryota; Viridiplantae; Streptophyta; Magnoliopsida; Arecales; Arecaceae.